GAGGACACAGUCAAAAGUAUCUUCAAAUCCUAAAGUUUGACAAGCUUGGGCGUAAAGGAUGCAAGCUACUGGUCUUCUCUAAUUUGCACAGCGGUAUGAAAGAAUCAGUGUAUUGUCACUGAUGCCGAACAACAAGGAUAUCCACUAAUAGAUGAUGUUAUCAUAAGGAAGGGCUGAUGGCUAAUGUUUUCAAGAAUCAGGCUGAUCUACCAAGGGCUCGUUUGGACAUCAUAUUGCAUACGGACACAAGCAUGACUGUAUUGCUACGGCCAGGUAAGCAUUUCCCGGUGAGCAGUGGAAGUGUUAGAACAGCCAGAGAGAUCAGGAAUUGGCUGCCGCUCGAUGAUA
This 348-nucleotide long non-coding RNA is filed under the name Felis catus (domestic cat). RNAcentral's name for it is "lncRNA (ENSFCAG00000043763.2)". Lineage: Eukaryota; Metazoa; Chordata; Mammalia; Carnivora; Felidae. The record is from RNAcentral.